AUGGUACAUCCCAAAGUUAUAAGACGCCUUUUUUCAAUUUGCUCCCUAUUAGAAAGAAAUGCUGUAAGCGAUGUUUCUCCAGAAACUGGUGUUGUGCUAGCAAGCAGAAAUUUACAGAUGGUUAGAAGAUACACAUCAGCACCUGUAUUUCUCAAGCUCACAAAAAAGGGAAAAAAAAAAGAAAACCAAACCAAAACCACAAAUCCCCCAUCAGUUGCUGAAAGCUUCCAGAUUCCUGAUGAUCUCUGCACCUCCUAAAUGGAGAUAAAUCUCAAGAGAACUCAAAGCCAAAAAUAAGGUUUGUAAUUUACUCAAUUGUGUCUUUUUGUUUGUCUGUGCAUACAAACAUAAUGAAGGGGUGGACUCAAGCCCACAUAAAAUAGCCCUGAUAAAUUCCCUAUUUGUUUUCAUUGUAUGGAUGAGAUGAUGUUUGUUUACAUCUUGUAAAAUAUAUCCAAGAUCUGACUUAGCACUUUUGCAAUGUCUCUAGAAGACUAUAAAAUUACAUUUAAGUUCCAAAACUUCAACAACAUGUAUUUUGAUGGCAUUAGGCUUUACAUAUUAAUUAAGUGUUGAAAAGACAUUAAUAAUAUGCAUCACCUGAGGUACUGAGAUUUAGAUGCCCAUUGUAAAAUGAAUCUAUGAUGACUGCAUUUUAAUGUAUUAGUAAUUAUUACCCUAUUAAAACACAGUAUUAUCAAUUUUGCAACACUAAAUUAUGGGAUUACCCUACCCCUAAUUAAACAGUACCACUGUAACCUUCUUAAAAAUCUUGACUAUGUCAAGUUUCUGCUAGAGGGUCAAUGCCUUCAUACAAGUGUACAACAGGCAAAAAUGCUGUCAGUUUAUUUCUGAAUUUUCAUAAUCAAAACUACUAUUUAUGUAUGCUGCAGGAAAAAAAAUAACUGCAAAAGUGUACAGCUUGAGUGCUGUCAUGUCAGAAGUACAUGGUAGGUGUUUGGAAACCCAACACAACUGGUUUCUUUCAUCAUUAUGGAACUCACUUUUUUGUAAUUCAAAAUGAAUGCCAGACAAGAACCAUUGUUACAGCAUUUCAGAAAAAUGUAACUCAAUUGUGAGCUAAACAUAAGUUCUUUUAGCUGUCAAGUUUUCAUGCUUAUAAUCAGACCUCCAGGGGCAAUCUUCACUUUUUCUAACAAGUAAAUGGCCAGACAGUGCAGCUCAGUAAGAAGAUCCUGAGUACUGAAAAUAUACAUGACUCAUAUACGUGCAAGUAGGUGUUAAUUAUCAAUGUACAAAGAUUAUUUCAGCAAUUUUUAUCCCAGAGAAAAUUCAAAUUUGAGCAAUCAAAAUAUUCUGGUUCAUGGCCAAAGAUAAUCUUCCGUGCUUUACAUGGUACACAUAUGUAAUACACCUGGUUCUAAAAAAGGUACUGUCUCCUCCUUACAGUAAUUGUUACCAUUCAUUAAAAACUAUGCUAUUUUGGGAGAAUCUCUUAACUUAUAAAUAGGAUUUGUAGAUAAAACUGUUUUAACUGCUAGAAUUCAAGUUCCUUUUUAUUCUCACCCUAGGAGGAAGAAUUGGUAAAGAAAAGAAACAGCUUUCUCUUUCUAGGUAGGAAGAUAUAAUAAAUACACCAGAAACUAAACUCUUCACAAUUUGUGCAAUUUUCUCCAUGAUGUUGCACCCUACACAUGACUUCUGAUGGACAGAAACAGUGUUUAGAUGCUUUACCUAAACAGUAAAUACCUCCUGUUUAGGGAGGGGAUCUUACAUGAUACUCCUUCAGACAUCAACCUAGUAAGUUACUUCUUGGCAAAUUCUGGUGUACUGUCCUUACAUCAGUUCCCAGUUGUUUCCAGACAAGUAGUACAUCAAUCUUCUCUUUCUCUUGAAUACCAGUGGCUUCCAUAAAAUGAGUUCAUAUUUUGAAAACAUUUCUCUGGCACAUUUCCCUGGAACAUUUCCAGGAAUAUUGAGCGUCUAAUGACCAACUGAACAUGAAUAAAACUUAAAUUUCUCUCUUAAAAAUCACAAGUAAUGCUGAAAACAUAUGUCAGAUGUUACAAUGCUUUUGUUGCUGGCAGAAUUUAAAAUUUAAAAUAUGGUAAGGGG
Molecule: long non-coding RNA, 2076 nt
Organism: Ficedula albicollis (Collared flycatcher)
Lineage: Eukaryota; Metazoa; Chordata; Aves; Passeriformes; Muscicapidae
Source: Ensembl